GAUGACCAUCCCAACCAACUUGGCCAAGCACCAAGUCAACCUGCAGGUGGCUCCCAUCAUAGCCAAGAUCAUGGCGAAGGUCAACGACGGGUCCUAGUGAAUGUCAUGAGCUCACCAUGCUGCAACCGUGGUGGCGGUGACGCUCAUCCUCGUGGACGACCUCUUAGAGCUCGAUGCUUUGGAAGCCAAUAUGGAGUUCAAAUCGAAUCCAGUCCCAUGUUACCUUCAACCAGACUAGGAGUGGUCAUGUAGCAGCCCUAAACCGGUAGCAGGCUUCUUUGAUCUGGAGAACGGAAACCAGGAGCUCAAGAGUGACCUUAAGCACCUCCACAUGAACACUACAACAAUGCAGACUUGUAAAUCCUCGAUAUUUGGCCCAGGUGAUGCAGCUGAUGGAGGGAGGAAGCCAAGUGGCUCGG
Lolium perenne is the source of this 419-nucleotide non-coding RNA. The record is from RefSeq and is a predicted model, not a curated record. NCBI's taxonomy places the organism in Eukaryota, Viridiplantae, Streptophyta, Magnoliopsida, Poales, Poaceae.